UACGGAGGAUCCGAGCGUUAUCCGGAUUUAUUGGGUUUAAAGGGUGCGCAGGCGGGAGAUUAAGUCGGCGGUGAAAUUUUGCAGCUCAACUGUAAAAGUGCCUUCGAAACUGGUUUCCUUGAGUGUGGAUGAAGUAGGCGGAAUUUGUGGUGUAGCGGUGAAAUGCAUAGAUAUCACGAGGAACUCCGAUUGCGCAGGCAGCUUACUAAACCAUAACUGACGCUCAGGCACGAAGGCGUGGGGAUCAAACAGGAUUAGAUACCCGGGUAGUCCCU
This 275-nucleotide ribosomal RNA is filed under the name uncultured prokaryote. RNAcentral's name for it is "partial 16S ribosomal RNA". It matches the Rfam family "Bacterial small subunit ribosomal RNA", at positions 524 to 798 of the family's 1533-position model. The record is from RNAcentral.